UAAGGAAUCUUCCGCAAUGGGCGCAAGCCUGACGGAGCGACGCCGCGUGCAUGAUGAAGCCCUUCGGGGUGUAAAAUGCUUUUCUCCGGGACGACAAAAAGACGGUACCGGGGGAAGAAGCCUCGGCUAACUACGUGCCAGCAGCCGCGGUAAUACGUAGGAGGCGAGCGUUGUCCGGAAUCACUGGGCGUAAAGCGCGUGUAGGCGGGGGGGGAAGUCUGCUGUGAAAGCGCCGGGCUUAACUCGGCGAGGUCGGCGGAAACUCUCCUCCUGGAGGCCGGUAGAGGGGGGUGGAAUUCCCGGUGUAGUGGUGAAAUGCGUAGAGAUCGGGAGGAACACCCGUGGCGCAGGCGGCCCCCUGGGCCGGGCCUGACGCUGAGACGCGAAAGCGUGGGGAGCGAACGGGAUUAGAUACCCCUGUAGUCC
RNAcentral lists this ribosomal RNA (426 nucleotides) under uncultured bacterium. RNAcentral describes it as "partial 16S ribosomal RNA". It matches the Rfam family "Bacterial small subunit ribosomal RNA", at positions 355 to 796 of the family's 1533-position model. The record is from RNAcentral.